CUACUGAAACUUAGUAUUUAUAGACUAAUUUCGUGGGUAAUGGGCUUGGAAUGAGGGAGACCCAAGUCCAAAAUAAUUUGUUAUAUUUUAUUUAUUUAUUUAUUUUAAUUAUUUAAUUAAUUAAUUAAUUAAUUAAUUAAUUAAAAAAAAAUCUCUUUUUUUUUCUUUUUUUUUUUUUAGGAAAAAUGAUGGGUAAUUUUUGGGGUAUGACAGCUGCCCCUGUUCAAUAUUCUUGAACCGAGAGAGUUAGGAUG
Molecule: long non-coding RNA, 254 nt
Filed under: Lathyrus oleraceus (garden pea)
Lineage: Eukaryota; Viridiplantae; Streptophyta; Magnoliopsida; Fabales; Fabaceae
Description: Pisum sativum (pea) long non-coding RNA (PSAT_LNC018307)
Source: RNAcentral